GACGAACGCUGGCGGCGUACUUAACACAUGCAAGUCGAACGGAAAGGCCCUGCUUUUGUGGGGUGCUCGAGUGGCGAACGGGUGAGUAACACGUGAGUAACCUGCCCUUGACUUUGGGAUAACUUCAGGAAACUGGGGCUAAUACCGGAUAGGAGCUCCUGCUGCAUGGUGGGGGUUGGAAAGUUUCGGCGGUUGGGGAUGGACUCGCGGCUUAUCAGCUUGUUGGUGGGGUAGUGGCUUACCAAGGCUUUGACGGGUAGCCGGCCUGAGAGGGUGACCGGCAACAUUGGGACUGAGAUACGGCCCAGACUCCUACGGGAGGCAGCAGUGGGGAAUAUUGCACAAUGGGCGGAAGCCUGAUGCAGCAACGCCGCGUGCGGGAUGACGGCCUUCGGGUUGUAAACCGCUUUCGCCUGUGACGAAGCGUGAGUGACGGUAAUGGGUAAAGAAGCACCGGCUAACUACGUG
Molecule: ribosomal RNA, 468 nt
Filed under: uncultured bacterium
Lineage: Bacteria
Description: partial 16S ribosomal RNA
Rfam family: Bacterial small subunit ribosomal RNA
Source: RNAcentral